Ctenopharyngodon idella (grass carp) is the source of this 1289-nucleotide long non-coding RNA. RefSeq lists it as uncharacterized. The record is from RefSeq and is a predicted model, not a curated record. NCBI's taxonomy places the organism in Eukaryota, Metazoa, Chordata, Actinopteri, Cypriniformes, Xenocyprididae. The transcript has 2 exons.
AACAAAAACACACACACACUUAGCAUGCUGCAGAUCAUACACUAAAGAGCAAAACAAUGUGUGAACAGAAGCAGAUAAGACAAAAACGCUAGUCUGGAUUAUAACACUUUUAAUGUGGUUUCCUGCAAGGCGAUAUUUCAGGUUAGAGGUGACGGACUCGUUGGAAGCUGCACGGCGUGAUCUGUGAGCGUGUGUUCAUGCAUAUUCGUGCUUGUGUUAAGAGUUUGGCUUCUUAAAUUAGGGGUUAGCGGCCAGAGCAAACUGUGAAGCGAGCUCUUAUUAUAAACCAAGACAAAAGUUAUUUUUUUCAAGCUAUUUAACCCCUUAACUGUCACCAUCUUGGUGCUCUUUUUACUUAGCGCACAUAUUUUAGUCAUCAUCAUAAUUUGAUGGCAAUUUUAGAGUAAAACAAAAUGAUAAAAUACACAUGUUACAUAAAAUAAAAAUGUUUAGUAUAGUACAAUUGAUUUACAGUAAAUAAACUUCCAUAACUUUUUCAGACUUAUUUUUUUGUGCUUUUUUAGUAAUAUUUUAGUAAUCAUAAUAAUUUAGGUAUCAUUCGAAAGCUUACGAACUAAAAAUUCAUCCUGUGAAAACUAUUUUGAAAUUGGACGUUGCGUUACCAUGAAAAACACUGUAAAUUCUUUAGCGAGCUCCUCCCCUAGUGGGCGGUGUCAGGUUUCGUAUUACAAAUUUUAUUUGAACUACUUUAUAUUUAAAACUUUUUCUAAUCUUCACAAAACAUGUCGUCGGAAAGUCUCAAGGUUCCAUAUUUGGUGAUUGUUUUGUGAUAUUUGAAUAGAGAUUUAUAAAUUUGUAACAUGAGAGCGCGUCAAAAUGUUUUUAAAUGGAAUGUGGGUGACACCCGGUGGAUAUUUUUGGUACAGCGCCUAAACAAAAUUUCAUUGGAACUUUAAUUUUUGUGUUAUCAACUUAUUUAGAAAUAUGGCUUUGAUUUGAUAGCAAUUAAAAAAAAAAAAAAAAAAAAAAAUGAUAGAAUAUAUAUUAUAUAAAAAAUGUUUAGUAUAAACAUUUUAUUUACAGUAAAUAUAAACUUCCAUAACUUUUUCAGACUUUUAUUUUUAUUUAUAUAAUCUGCUGAGUGUCUUCUUUAAAACGAGACCAACUUUAUGUCUAUAUUCCAUAGUAUUCUUGAAUUACAUCCAUUUAGGUUUGGAUAGUGCAUUUUCAUGUCUAUGCUCAAAACAGUUAAGGGGUUAAGCGAUCUGGAAAUUAAAAGUCAACAUGGAAUCAAAACAGACCUCAUUUACUUCGUCAAUUUUUUUUUU